This 91-nucleotide transfer RNA is filed under the name Candidatus Paraimprobicoccus trichonymphae. RNAcentral describes it as "tRNA-Ser". It matches the Rfam family "tRNA". Rfam says of the family: Transfer RNA (tRNA) molecules are approximately 80 nucleotides in length. Their secondary structure includes four short double-helical elements and three loops (D, anti-codon, and T loops). The record is from RNAcentral. Lineage: Bacteria; Bacillati; Bacillota; Clostridia.
GGAGCGGUAUCGAAGUGGUCAUAACGGGGCUGACUCGAAAUCAGUUUGGAUUAAUAAAUCCACGUGGGUUCGAAUCCCACCCGCUCCGCCA